CCUACGGGAGGCAGCAGUGGGGAAUUUUGGACAAUGGGCGCAAGCCUGAUCCAGCAAUGCCGCGUGCAGGAUGAAGGCCUUCGGGUUGUAAACUGCUUUUGUACGGAACGAAACGGUUCGCUUUAAUAAAGUGGGCUAAUGACGGUACCGUAAGAAUAAGCACCGGCUAACUACGUGCCAGCAGCCGCGGUAAUACGUAGGGUGCGAGCGUUAAUCGGAAUUACUGGGCGUAAAGCGUGCGCAGGCGGUGAUGUAAGACAGAUGUGAAAUCCCCGGGCUCAACCUGGGACCUGCAUUUGUGACUGCAUCGCUAGAGUACGGUAGAGGGGGGAUGGAAUUCCGCGUGUAGCAGUGAAAUGCGUAGAUAUGCGGAGGAACACCGAUGGCGAAGGCAAUCCCCUGGACCUGUACUGACGCUCAUGCACGAAAGCGUGGGGAGCAAACAGGAUUAGAUACCCUGGUAGUCCACGCCCUAAACGAUGUACAACUGGUUGUUGGGUCUUCACUGACUCAGUACGAAGCUAAGCGUGAAGUUGACCGCCUGGGGAGUACGGCCGCAAGGUUGAAACUCGAAAGGAAUUGACGGNGNGAGACGAGACGACGGACGACGACGAGGGGAGGAGG
Molecule: ribosomal RNA, 624 nt
Filed under: uncultured bacterium
Lineage: Bacteria
Description: bacterial SSU rRNA
Rfam family: Bacterial small subunit ribosomal RNA
Source: RNAcentral